AGAGUUUGAUCAUGGCUCAGAUUGAACGCUGGCGGCAGGCCUAACACAUGCAAGUCGAGCGGUAGCACAGAGAGCUUGCUCUCGGGUGACGAGCGGCGGACGGGUGAGUAAUGUCUGGGAAACUGCCUGAUGGAGGGGGAUAACUACUGGAAACGGUAGCUAAUACCGCAUAAUGUCGCAAGACCAAAGUGGGGGACCUUCGGGCCUCAUGCCAUCAGAUGUGCCCAGAUGGGAUUAGCUAGUAGGUGGGGUAAUGGCUCACCUAGGCGACGAUCCCUAGCUGGUCUGAGAGGAUGACCAGCCACACUGGAACUGAGACACGGUCCAGACUCCUACGGGAGGCAGCAGUGGGGAAUAUUGCACAAUGGGCGCAAGCCUGAUGCAGCCAUGCCGCGUGUGUGAAGAAGGCCUUCGGGUUGUAAAGCACUUUCAGCGGGGAGGAAGGCGAUAAGGUUAAUAACCUUGUCGAUUGACGUUACCCGCAGAAGAAGCACCGGCUAACUCCGUGCCAGCAGCCGCGGUAAUACGGAGGGUGCAAGCGUUAAUCGGAAUUACUGGGCGUAAAGCGCACGCAGGCGGUCUGUCAAGUCGGAUGUGAAAUCCCCGGGCUCAACCUGGGAACUGCAUUCGAAACUGGCAGGCUAGAGUCUUGUAGAGGGGGGUAGAAUUCCAGGUGUAGCGGUGAAAUGCGUAGAGAUCUGGAGGAAUACCGGUGGCGAAGGCGGCCCCCUGGACAAAGACUGACGCUCAGGUGCGAAAGCGUGGGGAGCAAACAGGAUUAGAUACCCUGGUAGUCCACGCCGUAAACGAUGUCGAUUUGGAGGUUGUGCCCUUGAGGCGUGGCUUCCGGAGCUAACGCGUUAAAUCGACCGCCUGGGGAGUACGGCCGCAAGGUUAAAACUCAAAUGAAUUGACGGGGGCCCGCACAAGCGGUGGAGCAUGUGGUUUAAUUCGAUGCAACGCGAAGAACCUUACCUGGUCUUGACAUCCACAGAACUUUCCAGAGAUGGAUUGGUGCCUUCGGGAACUGUGAGACAGGUGCUGCAUGGCUGUCGUCAGCUCGUGUUGUGAAAUGUUGGGUUAAGUCCCGCAACGAGCGCAACCCUUAUCCUUUGUUGCCAGCGGUUAGGCCGGGAACUCAAAGGAGACUGCCAGUGAUAAACUGGAGGAAGGUGGGGAUGACGUCAAGUCAUCAUGGCCCUUACGACCAGGGCUACACACGUGCUACAAUGGCAUAUACAAAGAGAAGCGACCUCGCGAGAGCAAGCGGACCUCAUAAAGUAUGUCGUAGUCCGGAUUGGAGUCUGCAACUCGACUCCAUGAAGUCGGAAUCGCUAGUAAUCGUAGAUCAGAAUGCUACGGUGAAUACGUUCCCGGGCCUUGUACACACCGCCCGUCACACCAUGGGAGUGGGUUGCAAAAGAAGUAGGUAGCUUAACCUUCGGGAGGGCGCUUACCACUUUGUGAUUCAUGACUGGGGUGAAGUCGUAACAAGGUAACCGUAGGGGAACCUGCGGUUGGAUCACCU
Molecule: ribosomal RNA, 1528 nt
Filed under: Klebsiella pneumoniae
Lineage: Bacteria; Pseudomonadati; Pseudomonadota; Gammaproteobacteria; Enterobacterales; Enterobacteriaceae
Description: bacterial SSU rRNA
Rfam family: Bacterial small subunit ribosomal RNA
Source: RNAcentral